This 544-nucleotide long non-coding RNA is filed under the name Triticum aestivum (bread wheat). RNAcentral describes it as "long non-coding RNA (TAES_LNC017199)". The record is from RNAcentral. Lineage: Eukaryota; Viridiplantae; Streptophyta; Magnoliopsida; Poales; Poaceae.
UUUUUAUAUCAGGUUCUCAUUGAGCUGUCUAAGAACAAGUAGAUCAUCAUUUCACCAUCUUCGGCCGCCCCAGGGUGUCAUCUCUUUGGCCUCCUCCAGCACUUCUUCUUUGUUCCUGAGUAUAAAACUUGAUGCAUGCGCCCUGUUCUAAAGUAGAAAAUCACUAAUAGCUUGUACUGUCCAUCUAUUGUGUUAACUUGCUCUAUGAUGGUACUUGAUCAUUUGCAAAAUAUAUCUCAGUUUUCGCUGUUAUGAGAAUGUUAUAUGCAUGGUUUCCUGUUAAAUCUAAAGUACUGCGGCAAAUUUUCAUCGUUAUGAGAAUUUUAUAUUCACGGAUUCACUUGAUUAUGUUUCUAACUUUUCAUAAUUUAUUAUUUGCAGAUGCUGGCCUUCAUUCUUCAAAAGUUGGGUGUACAGGAGCUCUAGGAAGAAGAAUCCCGAAGAAAAACCACACCCAGCAAUGCGUUUUUAGCUCACUGGAGAUAGUUAUGUGUGAAGCUAGUUAUGUGUAUAUUUAGUUGUAUUUUAUAGCUAAAUACUAGAU